GGUUGUGGCUCAGCGGUAGAGCGCUCACCUAGCAUGCGCGAGGCCCUGGGUUCGAACCUCAACACCA
RNAcentral lists this transfer RNA (67 nucleotides) under Marmota monax (woodchuck). RNAcentral describes it as "tRNA.Ala". Lineage: Eukaryota; Metazoa; Chordata; Mammalia; Rodentia; Sciuridae. The record is from RNAcentral.